This 268-nucleotide ribosomal RNA is filed under the name uncultured bacterium. RNAcentral's name for it is "partial 16S ribosomal RNA". It matches the Rfam family "Bacterial small subunit ribosomal RNA", at positions 1234 to 1500 of the family's 1533-position model. The record is from RNAcentral.
CGUAAACAAAGGGAAGCGAAGGCGUGAGCGUAAGCAAAACCUAAAAAUAAACGUCCCAGUUCGGAUUGUAGUCUGCAACCCGACUACAUGAAGCUGGAAUCGCUAGUAAUCGCGGAUCAGAAUGCCGCGGUGAAUACGUUCCCGGGUCUUGUACACACCGCCCGUCACACCAUGGGAGUCGGGAAUGCCCGAAGUCAGUGACCCAACCUUAGGGAGGGAGCUGCCGAAGGCAGGCCUGGUGACUGGGGUGAAGUCGUAACAAGGUACC